Molecule: RNA transcript, 1603 nt
Organism: Solanum tuberosum (potato)
Lineage: Eukaryota; Viridiplantae; Streptophyta; Magnoliopsida; Solanales; Solanaceae
Exons: 3
Source: RefSeq, a predicted model, not a curated record
UACCCAAAUGUCAUUUAAUCUUUUAUUUUUAAACAUGUCAUGUGGGAUAUUGAAAUUAAAGAGUUAUAAAUUAGGAAAAAGAUACUUUCGUUUUGAAACUGACUAAAAGUGUAAGUGAUGAUAUAUUAUCAAAUACUUAUUGAACAAAAUCACUAAUAUAAUUACUAUUAUGUUCUACAAUACUACUUAAGAAAAAACUGCUUGAAAGAAUUAUCUUUCAGUAAAGUUGUAAAUGUAAGUGUUGUUCCUUUAAGUAAUCUUCUACAUUUCUGAAUUCAGUCAAGUAUAUGCUUAAACGAGAGAAUGAGGGUAUCCAACAAAUAGUCAUUGAACAAAACACAUACACGUUGUGAUCUUUGUGAUAGAAAAGAGAUCAAAGUAAUAUCUAUUGAUAACUCAAUAUUCAAAUAUGAUCCUCAUGUAAAGUUGAGAUGCAUCUUAUAAGGGGGAUCAUGGGGUUCAAUGGUUCUGAUGAUGAAACAUUUAUGUAUUGCCAACUUUUAUGGGCAUUUUUUGUAUUUUUGAGUUAUAUCUCUUUUCUCUUCUCUACAAUAUCCUUCCAUUUAUUAGCCCUUUGUUUUUCUUUUUCUUCAUUUGUCCUUGAAUAAACCAACUGCUUUCUCUGUAUUUUAUUCCUUAUCUUCUCUUGAGUUUGUCCUGCAAGAUGUUGUCCCUUCCUCCACAACUCUCUCUGGCUAUCUUAUCUUUAUUGUUUUUAUGAAUAACAUGUAACUUGUAAGUAUUUAUAGCUUUGGGUGUACUCCUUCCUCCUUGAAUUUCAUAGAGCAUAUUUCAUGCUUCACAUAUCUCUAGAAUGUACAAAAUUUUCUGAUGCCUACUUCUUUGAGUCUUUUUUUUUUCUUGGUUAUGAUUUGAGAUUAUAUGGAUGCUCAUCAGAUUAGAUGGAUGUUGUCGGGAUUACACAAAUAGAGUUAGACUAGAUUUGUUUUCUAAGAAAACAGAGGACUGCUAUUGCUAUUGCAGUUCUCCUUCAUACUUUCAAGAAUAUCUUACUAUUUUGAGGCAAAGGUGUUAAUGAGAACCUGUUUGUGGCAAUGUUAGUAUCCAUGUUUGGCGUUGAAGGUUGUUCUGUCGAUGUGUCUUGUAAAAAAUGGAUUAAAGUGGUUUACAUCCAAUUCUGACAAGGUGAAUAAUAAGUAUUAUCUUGAGCCUGCUUCUUUGGAAGAGAUAGUCUGGUAAGGACUUUGGUUCCUUUAUUUUCAGUUGGGGUCUUUACCAAGAUACAAUUACCGAUGCACUAAAUUUUAUAUCUCUUUUGCAAGCAAAUUGUGACACCUCUAUGUUCAUGGUCCUAUAGGGACAACAGAGGAUACAAUUUCAAAAUGGAUAAGGCUAAGUAUAAUAUUUGUCAUGAAGUGUGGAAAAUUCUUGAAAUCAGGCAGAGACUAUUGAUAUGUCUAAAAUGUUUGAUUAUGAAAUUGUCUUAGUAUAAUAGAAGUAACUAAUUAUGCAUAUAUUGUACAUAAACUAUUGGAUAUUGUCUGUUUAAACUUUAGUAUGUAUUAGUAUUGAUUUUAUCUGUCUUGAUGUAAGGAUAAGUCAAUAUUAUUUAAAGGUAGUAUAUGAGCUUAUCCUUUUUGCA